Molecule: ribosomal RNA, 1450 nt
Filed under: uncultured bacterium
Lineage: Bacteria
Description: bacterial SSU rRNA
Rfam family: Bacterial small subunit ribosomal RNA
Source: RNAcentral
AUGCAAGUCGAGCGGUAGCACAGAGAGCUUGCUCUCGGGUGACGAGCGGCGGACGGGUGAGUAAUGUCUGGGAAACUGCCUGAUGGAGGGGGAUAACUACUGGAAACGGUAGCUAAUACCGCAUAAUGUCGCAAGACCAAAGUGGGGGACCUUCGAGCCUCAUGCCAUCAGAUGUGCCCAGAUGGGAUUAGCUAGUAGGUGGGGUAACGGCUCACCUAGGCGACGAUCCCUAGCUGGUCUGAGAGGAUGACCAGCCACACUGGAACUGAGACACGGUCCAGACUCCUACGGGAGGCAGCAGUGGGGAAUAUUGCACAAUGGGCGCAAGCCUGAUGCAGCCAUGCCGCGUGUGUGAAGAAGGCCUUCGGGUUGUAGAGCACUUUCAGCGGGGAGGAAGGCGGUGAGGUUAAUAACCUCAUCGAUUGACGUUACCCGCAGAAGAAGCACCGGCUAACUCCGUGCCAGCAGCCGCGGUAAUACGGAGGGUGCAAGCGUUAAUCGGAAUUACUGGGCGUAAAGCGCACGCAGGCGGUCUGUCAAGUCGGAUGUGAAAUCCCCGGGCUCAACCUGGGAACUGCAUUCGAAACUGGCAGGCUAGAGUCUUGUAGAGGGGGGUAGAAUUCCAGGUGUAGCGGUGAAAUGCGUAGAGAUCUGGAGGAAUACCGGUGGCGAAGGCGGCCCCCUGGACAAAGACUGACGCUCAGGUGCGAAAGCGUGGGGAGCAAACAGGAUUAGAUACCCUGGUAGUCCACGCCGUAAACGAUGUCGAUUUGGAGGUUGUGCCCUUGAGGCGUGGCUUCCGGAGCUAACGCGUUAAAUCGACCGCCUGGGGAGUACGCCCGCAAGGUUAAAACUCAAAUGAAUGACGGGGGGCCCGCACAAGCGGUGGAGCAUGUGGUNUAUUUCGAUGCAACGCGAAGAACCUUACCUGGUCUUGACAUCCACAGAACUUUCCAGAGAUGGAUUGGUGCCUUCGGGAACUGUGAGACAGGUGCUGCAUGGCUGUCGUCAGCUCGUGUUGUGAAAUGUUGGGUUAAGUCCCGCAACGAGCGCAACCCUUAUCCUUUGUUGCCAGCGGUUAGGCCGGGAACUCAAAGGAGACUGCCAGUGAUAAACUGGAGGAAGGUGGGGAUGACGUCAAGUCAUCAUGGCCCUUACGACCAGGGCUACACACGUGCUACAAUGGCAUAUACAAAGAGAAGCGACCUCGCGAGAGCAAGCGGACCUCAUAAAGUAUGUCGUAGUCCGGAUUGGAGUCUGCAACUCGACUCCAUGAAGUCGGAAUCGCUAGUAAUCGUAGAUCAGAAUGCUACGGUGAAUACGUUCCCGGGCCUUGUACACACCGCCCGUCACACCAUGGGAGUGGGUUGCAAAAGAAGUAGGUAGCUUAACCUUCGGGAGGGCGCUUACCACUUUGUGAUUCAUGACUGGGGUGAAGUCGUAACAAGGU